UAAAAUUAGAUUUAUAAUGGGCAUUCGUCAAGAAUUAGUUACACUCACUUUGUGAUUGAGUUUGAUUUUGUAGGAUCCCAUAUAAACGAGGGAUUGUUGUAUGGAUUUGCAAACUGAAUUGUAACUUGUAGUAACGAUGAAGUCCCUUGCUUGCUUGAUGGCGGUCUUAGCGGUGGUCAUGUUAUCCGCCUCAGCUUUUCGUGGGGAGGUUUCAACGCAUCAACUGCAGGGCAUCUACUGUGACUACUCCGAACAAUGUGUUCCAAAUUGCAAAAUGUGCCCAACUCUUACGCCCUAUGCGCUCUGCUUCGAGCACAUCUGCUACUGUCAACCUGCAGUGGAUGAUAGACGGCAUCGUGGACUACCCGGCUAUCUGCCACCUAAUUAAAUCAAUGAUGGGUUUUUUAAUUCGUAGGACGCUCCAAACAAAUGUCGUUCGGUUCUCUAAUAACCAAUAAAUGGCAAUUCAUUAAAAGUAAAAUCUUAAUACAAAAAUUCAUCACAUAAAA
Maniola jurtina (meadow brown) is the source of this 509-nucleotide long non-coding RNA. RefSeq lists it as uncharacterized. The record is from RefSeq and is a predicted model, not a curated record. The transcript is spliced from 2 exons. Lineage: Eukaryota; Metazoa; Arthropoda; Insecta; Lepidoptera; Nymphalidae.